UACGAAGGGUGCAAGCGUUAAUCGGAAUUACUGGGCGUAAAGCGUGCGCAGGCGGUUAUGCAAGACAGAGGUGAAAUCCCCGGGCUCAACCUGGGAACUGCAUUUGUGACUGCAUCGCUGGAGUGCGGCAGAGGGGGAUGGAAUUCCGCGUGUAGCAGUGAAAUGCGUAGAUAUGCGGAGGAACACCGAUGGCGAAGGCAAUCCCCUGGGCCUGCACUGACGCUCAUGCACGAAAGCGUGGGGAGCAAACAGG
RNAcentral lists this ribosomal RNA (253 nucleotides) under uncultured bacterium. RNAcentral's name for it is "partial 16S ribosomal RNA". It matches the Rfam family "Bacterial small subunit ribosomal RNA", at positions 524 to 776 of the family's 1533-position model. The record is from RNAcentral.